AAAAUAUUACAAUUUUGAAACAAAAGGUUCUCGACGUGCGUGGCACGUCAUUCCAGCGCAAGAGGUUAAUUGCGAACGCGUAUGUGCUAACGGCGACUUUAUGGAUUAGGUUUCACUAAUAUUUGAUUUAUCACAGUUGUCGUCAUCAGUGUGAGUCCAAAUAAUCAAGUAAUAAAUCUAAUUGUUAAUAUUUUUCGAAAUAUUAACAACAUUACAUCCAGAAUCAUAAAGUCACUGUUAGAACGCACGCAAGUGCCCACAGUGUUAAAUGAUUAAGAAACAUUUUUGCCAUUUGUUUCCUUCAAAUAGUUUCACAUUCGAAGGAAUUCACCUAUAACAGCCACGAACAAGCUUUUCUUUCCACCCUGUGCAUACUUGUCUCUCGUCGAGUGUCUCGACGAGACGAGCGAAACGCGCAUCGGCGAAACGGCUCAUCGCCAGAUCGGUCGUCGCGAGGAAGAAUGGGUGACGGUGACGAUGACGGAAAAAUAAAGAAGCGACAGAUACAGAGAGGGCAAACACGCUGGAAAAGAACGAGAAAUAAACGGAAAAAGUAACUAGAUUCUAUUACGCGCGUAGUGCUACAGGUUGUAGCACUGUAUCCCCCCUCUUUAGCUUUCCUCCUUGUCUUUUCUCCUCUUUUUCCUUUGCACCUCCCUCUGUCCCCUCCCCUCCAGCCCCUCUGUUCCUUCCGUCGCUUCUUUAUCCUCGUGUCCAGUGAGACAAGAGUAUGCAAACAGGGAACACGUUUCUGUGCGCACAUCGAGACAAACAGACAGUAGUCUAAAUGUACGAGCGUUAACGCGCGGUGAUAUCGAUGCACACGUACGGCAGAUACGUACGUAGCCAUUCAAAGGCGAAAAUAGCGAUCCUCGCGAUGAAGCUCGUACAUGAGACAAAGUAAACUCGCGCGAAAGUUUCGACACACAACGGGGCGAUUAUCGUGGAUAAAAGCCACUUGUUCCGUCGAACGUACUUGCGAAAAUUCAGCCUGCCACGCGCGUCGAAGGCGCGUUGUUGCGCGCGUGAGAGAAGAAAGCUUUGCGAAGGAAUAUUUACAAAGUACGCACAGCAGAAAGGGGAGUGAAUGAAUAAGAGAAAGAGAAAGAGAGAGAGAAAGACAGAGACAGAGAGGAAGAAGAAAAAGAAAGGGAGAAGAAAAUGAGAGCGCAGAAGAAAUGAAGAAAGAGAAGAUGACGAAGAAUGAAGAAGAAGAAGAAGAUUAGAAGACACGAAGAAGAUUAGAGGAAACAAGACGAAGAACAAAGCAACACCACGAACAAACCAUAGGUGGACCAUAGGCAAAAAUAGAAGACUACCGCAGUGGUCACAGAAGGUGGGGCUGUUGUAGGUGUGUUGCUUGAAUUGGUGCUUCGUCCGCGUGUCCUGCGUUAUUACACCAUUACACCGUGCACACACACGCAGACUCUCGGGUCAUGGCGGCAAAGUAAGGAUAUAUAUAUCGUCAUGGUGUAGGAUUGGGGAACGAUGGGAAUUGGCUCGAAACAUGGACCGGGGGGACAGAGAUCGGCGAGAAUUGAUUUCCCAGAUGACGAUCGAUCGUAUUUCAUCGACGUUCGACGAAUUAUUGGACCUAAAACUCAACUUAGGCCAGGCAACGUUGCCACGAAUUUUGAGAAUCGAGCAAGUGACUAUUGACUUGUAUUUUUGAUUACUUUUUGAUGGCGUGCACGAUUAAUAGUCUCUUGCUUCUAAAGUACGUCUUGCAAUUUUCACAACAAGCGCAGAAACUAUAGUUAUCAAGAAAAGUGUCUAGAGUUACAGAACAAGGGAAUAAAUUUCAUUGUUUCAUUAUUUUCACAAAGGAUUGUUCAAUGAUGUCAAAAUUAAUUUAAAGUGAAACAUUUUGUUCCAAAUAUAUUUAGUAUUAUCGUUUAUGUUACAUACUAUACUUGUGAUACUUAUAUAAUGCCAUGCAAUGAUACUAAAUACCAAUAAAUAACAUUUACUUUAA
Long non-coding RNA from Frieseomelitta varia, 1975 nucleotides. RefSeq lists it as uncharacterized. The record is from RefSeq and is a predicted model, not a curated record. The transcript is spliced from 2 exons. NCBI's taxonomy places the organism in Eukaryota, Metazoa, Arthropoda, Insecta, Hymenoptera, Apidae.